RNAcentral lists this ribosomal RNA (363 nucleotides) under Ochromonas sp. CCMP1393. RNAcentral describes it as "partial Bacterial small subunit ribosomal RNA". It matches the Rfam family "Bacterial small subunit ribosomal RNA", at positions 567 to 930 of the family's 1533-position model. The record is from RNAcentral. Lineage: Eukaryota; Chrysophyceae; Chromulinales; Chromulinaceae.
GUGCGUAGGCGGCUUCUUAAGUCGGAUGUGAAAUCCCUGAGCUUAACUUAGGAAUUGCAUUCGAUACUGGGAAGCUAGAGUAUGGGAGAGGAUGGUAGAAUUCCAGGUGUAGCGGUGAAAUGCGUAGAGAUCUGGAGGAAUACCGAUGGCGAAGGCAGCCAUCUGGCCUAAUACUGACGCUGAGGUACGAAAGCAUGGGGAGCAAACAGGAUUAGAUACCCUGGUAGUCCACACCGUAAACGAUGAGAGCUAGUUGUCUGCAGGCAUGCCUGUAGGUGACGCAGCUAACGCAUUAAGCUCUCCGCCUGGGGAGUACGGCCGCAAGGUUAAAACUCAAAUGAAUUGACGGGGGCCCGCACAAGC